Long non-coding RNA from Helicoverpa armigera (cotton bollworm), 5494 nucleotides. RefSeq lists it as uncharacterized. The record is from RefSeq and is a predicted model, not a curated record. The transcript is spliced from 2 exons. Lineage: Eukaryota; Metazoa; Arthropoda; Insecta; Lepidoptera; Noctuidae.
UUUGGAUAUAUUUUAGAUAUCUAAUUUCAUAUGUUAUAAUUUUUAAUAGUAAAAUAAUUUGUUCAAUUGAUUCACCAAACGAAAUAAUUUAAAAAUGACAUUUUCCGGUUGGAGGUAGCAGCUAGCAACACUUGGCAAAUGGCGGGAUUCUGAGCGGAGCACCGUACCGUGCGGUCGUGCAACCGAGAUUGUGUGGAAAAGAAUAAAGAUUGAUAGUUUGUUGAAAGUGUUGACGUUUUCUUGGAGAGGAGUCCUAUACCUUGGAGUGGAGUUCUUACAUUUCAGAAGUGGGAUACAGCGCAAAUACUGCUUGCCAGAUCAGACCAUGAAUGCCACCGGCAGCUGGACUCAGCACAGGCUGAAGAUGCCGGAAAGAGAGUCGCCGCGAAGCAACCACACUGGCAGUCGAAGCGGAAGUCGCAGUCGACGUCUGGGAGAGCAAGAGAGGAGCGCGAGCCAGCAAAGAUCAGCGCCGCACUGCCACGAUGGGCACCAGGAUGUCAACCAGGAACAACAACCAUCACGAAGGUUAUGUAUGUCCAGUUUUUUUUACUACUAACGAUCUUUUAAAGCUACUAAAUUCCGUUAAACGUGUACCGUCGCGUCGCCGUCUCAACCCAUGGCUCAAGGCGCACCAUCGAAACAUUUCGAUUUUAAAAACAUAUUGCCUAAUUUUAAUCCGGCUACUAAAAAUCAACGCAUGGAUGUUUGGCUUAGAAAGGUGAACGAGUGCGCCUCAGCCGAUGGUUGGGACGACAAAUGACGAUAUUUUUGCUAUGCAGGAGCUGCAGGGAUUGGCCAAACUUGAUAUGAGAGUUUAAACUCUAAACUAUUUACGUGGCGGGAGUGUCAGGAGAAAUUACUUAGUGCAUUCCUUGUGAACAAAUUAUGGUCAAACCCUGGAGGACAUGCUUAAUAACUUCCCUGUCCCAUGAGUCAUAUGUGAAACACACCGAUUGUCUUACUAUUGUGUCUGCUUCGUGGACAGUGAAGUGGUUAAACGUAGAAGUAGAUGCUACGAACGAACCUAUUUAUGAUUUAUUAUUAUGAAAAACUUGCUGAAUCAGUGCGAUAUCACGGGAAAACGAGCUGUAGAUUGCAUUAGCAUUACCCACAGAAUCAGUGAUCGGACUGUGAAAUCUAAUGCUUUGCGAGAUGCCUGACCAGUUACUUCAGUCCUUGAUUAACAAUAAAGAAUUUUAAUUGUAAGCAGAAGAAGGACAUCCUUACCUUCAAUGUCCUAAGCCUUUUAUCCGAUGCGAUAAAUGGAAAAGUAGGUCACAAAACCGACAACUGUUUCAGUAAACAGGAUAGAUCUGAGCUUUUUUUUUAUUUGUGUUAACAUGUGUGUAACUACGUUUUAUUUAAAAAAAAAAAAAAAAACUUAUUUAUGGCAACUGGUUUAUUUUUAAAUAGUGUAUAGAUUGAAAUUAACGAAAAUUAAGUUAGAACGCCAAAAAUAUAACUAGAAUAAAAAAUAUCCGAAUACAUGAUGAAAAAGCUGAGUGAAAAAGUCUAAAAAACACUAAACACUUCGAGAAUGUGACUCUAUUGAGAAUGAUAUUAACAAAAAAAAUACACAAAGUAUUAUUAAUAUUUUUACUACUAAUUAAAGAAAACAAUCUUGUCAACAGAAAAAAAAAACACAAAACACGACAAUUCUUUGAACGUUUAAUAACAAAAAUCAAACUUUCAGUUAUGUGACUUUUGAUGCACAUCGGAUAUUAAUUUUUAAAAUAUUAAGCUAUAAUAAAAAUAUAUUUCUGCAGUGAUCCCUAGUUAUGAAUCAAAAUUAAAUUCCUGUCCAUGUCGAAAACAGAACAAAACAGUGUUUUAUAAAGAAUUUUAAUUUUUUUUGUUUAAAAUAGAAAACAGGGACAGUCAUACCACUGAACGCCUGAAAAGGAUAAAGCUUCAUCUACGUGGACGCUAUUAUUAUAAUUAUGUAAUAUUCCAGAUCAACAUUUAAUAAUAAUCAAGAAAUACUAUAUCUUUUCAAUAAUGGAACAAAUAAUUACAAAAAAAUGUUAUACCUCGUUUACAUAAAGAUUGUAAACAUGAAUAAAAUAAAAAUGAUACCCACAGAAAACUAUUAUUCUGAAUUUCUGAAACAACAUCACUGUUUCCAUGUAAACUUAACUUUAUAGGAUCAGUCAUGUUGUGACUUUGAGCUCAGCCCGUAUGUGACCAUAGAUUUGGUCACAAAACGGAAGUCACAUUUUCAUACUUGCCGAUUAAAAAGAAAAUUAUAAAUAAUUAUUUGUGGUUCUUUUCCAUUUGAUGUCAUUUUAAAAAGUAACCGAAAGAAAUGGCGGUUUCUAGAAAUAAACAGCAAUCCUAAUAUUUGGUUACGCUGUAGUAAAAUUCAAACACAUAUCUGAACAUAAAUUCCGUUCUUGUACAAUAAAACGUCUACGUUCCUCAAAGUCAUUUUGACUUUAAUUAAUAGUAAAGUAAAAUAAAACGCAGUAGUAUGUUUAAGUAGUGCCUGUUUCAAAGUAUUAGGACCCAAAAAUUGUGGCUUAAAGUACUAUAAAAUGCGGUCACGAUACUGAAUGUUCAGGGUGGAUCAAAUUUUUUUAUUUUUUUAUGUAAAUAAGCCAGCAUAUUACAAAUGAAUUGAUGAAUAUUAUUAAAUGAUGACGAAUAACCAAUUAAUAUUUUUAUAAAAUGAUUAUCGAUAUUUUGUUUUCUUUUAUUGAUGCGAGAUAAGGAAUUGUCCAUAAAUUGAUUUUUGUCAUUGAUUGUUUAAUAUCAAGUGGUUACCAAGAUUUUAUUCCUUAGAAAUGUCAAAAGGUUAAUAUUUAAGUUUACUUACUUCCUUUUAUGUAUUGUUAUGUAUUGUUAAGUAUUGUUAGUUAUCCAUGAUAUUCCUUUGAAUUCGAAUGAAGUCUUUAGAUUAAGAUGACACAUGUAAAUGAUUGAGUAAUGAUGAUCUUUUGAAUUAUGCGAGAAAUGAAUGGUUCGCUAUUUAGAUUGAGUGUCUGUGAGAAAUGAAGGGUUCAUAUGACAAUCAAUUUUCAGUUGGAUAUGACCUUGCGAUAAAUGAAUGACUGGUUUUGGUCAUCAUUUUAUAUUCUCGCGAGAAACGAAAGUUUCGUGGGAGCAUAAAUUAUCAAGUAAGGCUGUAAAUAGUUUAUUGUCUCAAAAAAGAUACACACAAGAGAAAACACACAUCAGUGAUUACAAUUUUCACAUGUACAAUAAUUUCGUUGAACACUGGUACCCAAAGGAAAAUUUAACUUGUGGUAUGGGUACAGGGGCUCUCGAUAUUGAUUUCCACAGAUAGUUAACGUGAAAGUUAAUAGUAGUGAAUCGUACAUUAGAUGUAGAAAUGGUAUGGUGGGAUUGCUGGGUUUCGUGGAUCUAGGUUUAACAUGAGUUGAGGUAAACGCGGUUGUUUCUUGCAAGGUCGUUAACGAUAAUUUGUUAGACACACCAAUUCUUAUCGGGCAGACGUUGACCGAGCAGCCACUUCUAGUUAUUUAGAAGGAUUUUAAUGAGCUUAAAUUCUCAAACCACCGAAAUGUUCGGAUGAUAGCAAUAAUGAUAAAACGGUUACAGUCAGUAACUCUUUUAAAGUAGAGUCACCGUUUCACGCACUCCAUUUAGACCACUUGGGGCCUUUUGUGAAGUCAACAUUUGGGUAUAUUCACAUACUGGUGGUAGCUGAUGUUUUAACAAUAUCGUAUUUAUUAGAGCCGUUAGGAACACUAAUACACAGAAUGUUAUCAAGGUCUUAAAUGAUAUAUUUGAUACUUUUAGGACGCCCAUCCGUUUAAUAAGUAAUCGCCGUAGUUGUUUUACUUCACAUGCGUUUAAAAGGCUUUGUCUGGAUAAGGGCGUGAAAAAUGUUUGAACGCGGUGGCUUAUCCGCGCUCAGACGGACGAGUGGAGCGAUAUGGUCGCGCCAAAUUGGAGGCAUUAAAGGCGCAAAACGUGGGCAGUGACGAAAGAGACUGGGAUAGUAAGAUGGGGAAAAUCCAGUGGGGUCAUAAUGAUAGCUUGCAGAAGACCAUAGGUCCGAAGAGGUGAAUGAAUGGUGAAAUGAAUCCCAUAUUAAACGAAGUAGCCCGGGCUAAUGAUGUUGAUUAUGAUAGUGAAUUAGUAUUAUGAUAAGAGUGGAAAGCAGGCUGGAAUUUGUAGUAAAGGAUUUGGUCAAGUUACUAAAAUGAAUUUGCAUAAUGAGGGUAAAAGUUUAAAGCUUUUAGAGUUACGAAGGUCUUAGGCAACAACAGGUAGAGACUGGUUCCUGUCCUAGUACUUGAGCGUACGCGUACGCCUAGUGUGGGCGCAACGCUGCCGUGGCUGUGGAUUGAAUGCGUCUUUUGAUUCAUGCGGAGUCACUGGGGGUGAACGAUGACGGCAUUGAUUGAGUGUAUAAAUCGAGUAAUGAUGGUAGUGGUGAUGAAAUGUAGAUAAGCGUUUUUAAAAGAUAUAAUAUUAUGUGAUUGUUUAUUGCGAAACAGAUGUAUAGAUUAGAUUAAAUUAGUUAUUUUCUUAUAAUACAUUUACAGAUUAUCUGAUUUAAUUGUUUUUACCGGAUACUUGUUCAUUGUAUGAAUUUAGUAUUGUUACAGAUAUCGCUCCUUGACUCUAAGAAGUGAUUGGUUUAAAGAUUCGAGAGAGAAAUUCGUCACGAGUCGUCGAGAAUUGACUGGUUCGAAGCAUAUGCAGAUGAGUUUAUAGUGUAAGUCCUUCAGAAAUGAAUGGUUGAAGGCAUUCUAGUUUCUCCUUCAGAAAUGAAUGGUUGAAGGAGUUCGUCUAGUUGAAACCCUCAGAAAUGAAUGGUUGAGGGAUAGGAAGUCCUCGAGAAUUGAUUGGUUCGAGCACAUGAUGAGUUUAUGUUGUAAUUCCUUCAGAAAUGAAUGGUUGAAGGAGUUAGCAUUAGUGUUUUGACUGUGGUGUCUCAAUCAAUAUAUUUAUGCCAAUAUAAUAUAUGUAAGGCUUAUUAAUGUUAAUGAUUAUUUCACAGAUACAGUGUUGUUUUUUUUUUUGUUUUAAUUUUUGUGAAUAUAAUUUGAAACGAUGUUGAAUUGUACAAGUUGUAAUUCAAUUAUUAUUAAAUUGUAAUAGACAGCUGUGUUGCUGGGAAGUUUGUUCUUCACCACUUCUUCUUCCCAGCCAUAACACUAGGAAGUGGUGAAAGGGGGGCGUUUUGGGGGUGCUGUCCUUUUAUGUAAAAUAUCGCUAUUGGCCAAGUGUAAGGUUAGCCCACCUAGUACGUGUAUGGGGACAUACACGAGGUCAGGAUGGACGAGUGUAAGGUUUGGAUAUAUUUUAGAUAUCUAAUUUCAUAUGUUAUAAUUUUUAAUAGUAAAAUAAUUUGUUCAAUUGAUUCACCAAACGAAAUAAUUUAAAAAUGACAUUUUCCGGUUGGAGGUAGCAGCUAGCAACACUUGGCAAAUGGCGGGAUUCUGAGCGGAGCACCGUACCGUGCGGUCGUGCAACCGAGAUUGUGUGGAAAAGAAUAAAGAUUGAUAGUUUGUUGAAA